GAGUAGCUGGGAUUACAGGCGUGUGCCACCAUGCCCGGCUAAUUUUUGUGUUUUUAGUAGAGACCGGGGAAGGUAUGGGCCCUCUUUUGAGAAAAAUGCAGAGUGACACUGAAUUUUGUAACUACAUCAGGAGGCUCUUGAACCUUCUGCAGCUCACUCGUGGAGUUUGUAGAGAUGCGUAAUAAUCCGAAGUGUUAAGGAAGAAGGUUCUGUUGAGAAAAAGUUGGAGGGCUGAAAGGGAUGCCUUUCGCUAUUUCGACAUGUGUGGCUGUACCCCAGAGUGCCCUGGCUAACACGCAAAACCAUGAAUUAGGCGGCUUGGCGAGGCUCAGUGGAGGCUGGGGCCGAGAGUCAUGUCAAAGUUUGUGGGGUUAACCUGCACCCAGUGACAGUCAUGGCGAAGUUUGUGAGGUUAACUCGCACCCAGUAACGCUGUUCCAAUGCAAGGUGUGUAUUUGGUGUCAUCCACGGGAAGAGGAAACAGCAAAUUUUCUCAUGGCCUUGGCAGUUCCACAUGAUGGACAUUUCAUAUCUGCAGUUUUCUUCGCAUGAGAUGGCUUUUUUGCACAAAAACACUGGAAUCCAGUGAGCAAGAAUGAUAGAAUGCAAGAUGGAUUUCCACAUGAGGAAGUGUCACGAACAAGCGUUUUGCAUCUCUGUCAGCUGGAUUCCCCCAUGUGUACGUAUGUGAGAACAUGCCGUGUUUCCUGUCUGUAAUGGUAGAGGCAGCCCUGAUACUGGAUUUUCACCUGAGGAUGGAUAGAUCUUCAGGGUUCAAGUGGGUUUGCAUCUGGACUUUAGGGUGGCCCUGUAGGCCCUGUGUGAGAAGCCCCCUUCCCAGUGAACUUUCCCUUGUGUGCCCGCGUGGACAGCCAACAGGGGGAGCAGUGCGAGCGUGAAGGCAGACAGUGGCCUGGCCCAGUCUGAUGGUGCAGAAGCUGAGCUGCAGAGGCGUUAGGUACCUGCCUCAUAAGUGGUAGAGACUCCAGUGUCACCCUGCCCCUCACGUUCGGAGCCCCCGAGGGAGGGUCUGCCGGGCAGCUCAGCCCAGCACUCUGUAAGGAAAUCUUCAGUGCCACUGCCCAGGAUGUCUUCCCGGGGAUUGGGCCUGAAUGUCUUGACCAUGCCGUGCUGGAGGGAGAGACCCACCGACCCUGUGGGGCUGGUCCCUACAUCUGGCGCUCUGACGUGGGGCUCUCCCUCGCUGUGUGAAGUUGCACCCUGAGUGCGGGAUCAGCGGAGGAGUUCAACGAGAGAUUCCUGAGGAUUGCAGUCUAUAAACUUGGUGUCUGCAGAUGCCUCUAAGGAGUCCGAAACCAAGUCCGAAGUCAACAACAAGCAAUGAUGGCGAUGGCGAUUCUAGUUAAUAAAAAGGGGGGAGAUGUGGGCGGCAAGCCACCCAGGCACCGAGGCAAGAGACAGAGGACACGAGCUGUUCCAGUAUAAUAAAAUAUAAAACAAGAAUAGUUAUACCAGAUAUAGAUCUUAGAUAUGAUUAUAUACGAAUAUCAUUAAUC
RNAcentral lists this long non-coding RNA (1517 nucleotides) under Homo sapiens (human). Its description in RNAcentral is "endogenous retrovirus group K13 member 1". Lineage: Eukaryota; Metazoa; Chordata; Mammalia; Primates; Hominidae. The record is from RNAcentral.